AUAACAUGUUGAAACACUGAUUCCCAUAUGAUCACCAAAGUUAAGCAACAUCAAGCUUGGUCAGUACCUAGAUGGGUGACUGCUUAGGAAUACCAAGUGCUGUAAG
Acanthosepion pharaonis is the source of this 106-nucleotide non-coding RNA. Lineage: Eukaryota; Metazoa; Mollusca; Cephalopoda; Sepiida; Sepiidae. The record is from the annotation of a GenBank genome assembly.